This 494-nucleotide ribosomal RNA is filed under the name uncultured bacterium. RNAcentral describes it as "partial 16S ribosomal RNA". It matches the Rfam family "Bacterial small subunit ribosomal RNA", at positions 29 to 523 of the family's 1533-position model. The record is from RNAcentral.
AUGAACGCUAGCGGGAGGCCUAACACAUGCAAGCCGAGCGGUAGAGAUCUUUCGGGAUCUUGAGAGCGGCGUACGGGUGCGGAACACGUGUGCAACCUGCCUUUAUCUGGGAGAUAACCUUUCGAAAGGAAGAUUAAUACCCCAUAAUAUAUAGAGUGGCAUCACUUUGUAUUGAAAGCUCCGGCGGAUAGCGAUGGGCACGCGCAAGAUUAGAUAGUGGGUGAGGUAACGGCUCACCAAGUCAGUGAUCUUUAGGAGGCCUGAGAGGGUGAUCCCCCACACUGGUACUGAGACACGGACCAGACUCCUACGGGAGGCAGCAGUGAGGAAUAUUGGACAAUGGGUGAAAGCCUGAUCCAGCCAUCCCGCGUGAAGGACGACGGCCCUAUGGGUUGUAAACUUCUUUUGUAUAGGGAUAAACCUACCCUCGUGAGGGUAGCUGAAGGUACUAUACGAAUAAGCACCGGCUAACUCCGUGCCAGCAGCCGCAGUAA